RNAcentral lists this long non-coding RNA (1103 nucleotides) under Homo sapiens (human). RNAcentral describes it as "HSALNT0108611". Lineage: Eukaryota; Metazoa; Chordata; Mammalia; Primates; Hominidae. The record is from RNAcentral.
CUGAGAGGCGGCAGGGUGGGAGAACGAGUGAGGAGAAGGGCAUCAACUUUCUUCAUGCCGUUUAAUUAGCUGCUUACAGAAAUUCCUGCCCCAAGGCUUCUAGGCUCUCCUCAAGUUUCUUCAAAGAAAGGGUUCUGGCUGAUUUGUGCAGAAGGAAGGGGAAACCUCGUCUGAACGUGCAGCAUUUGCCUAUCUCUUAAGGCUGGCCCCAGUGUGAACUGUGAGGGUCUUGAGUGAAGAAAGCUCUCACAAGCCCCUUGGAAUAAAAGGGUGAGGAGAGGAGGUAGUGCACCACCUGCUCUGAUUCUCAGAAGCGGAGAGACAACCUGACCAGCAAGAGUCAAAAACUGUGUGUCUGAAUCCUCUUCUUUCCAUCCCUGUGUGCAACUCAAGUCAACAUACAUUUAAUGAGCACCGUCUAUUUACAGUGCCAAGCUCAGAGUAGCUGAUAUGAAGAUAAGUAAGACAAGGCCUUGCCCUCAAAAUUCUGUCAAGUAACAGCUGGGACACCUGAAGCAACUUCAUGUGUGUGGCCUAUUUAAAUCUCCCAAGGUCGUGCACUCAGCAUGUUGUAACAUUAAAAAUGAGACGCCUUAGACAACCACCCUCUCUGCACUAGCAAAGCUUAGGAAUCCUGAGACCAAACCACCCUGAAAGGAAGGAAGGGGACGUGCUGCAUUCUUGCCUCUUUGACAAGUUCUGCUUCUUUACAAAGGACUUUGCAAGUACUUCACCCAGACCAUCUCACCUGUACCGAAAUAACCUCCCCUACUAGCGAAUGAGCAACUUUGGAGCAGAAAGCAGAAACUGCAUCAUAUUUCUCUUACUAUGCAAACUGGUAGCUCAAACCUCAUAUGACCUCAAAAAACUAUAAUUGCUUCAACCUAAAAAAGCUGAUUGUAAAAAAAAAAAAAAGCUGUGGUUGCACACACGUGUUCAAAAAACACGGUAUCCACAUAAAAUAACGUCUCAGGAUAAAUCAUUCAGAUUUAAUAAAAGUCAAGUACUACUGGGAGUUGAUUUUCCAGUUAGCUCUGACCUCCUUGAGCAAAAAGUAGAAGAUAAAAGGAAAUGAAUUAACUUAAGAGCUAAGAAAACAAACC